Molecule: long non-coding RNA, 1674 nt
Organism: Magnolia sinica
Lineage: Eukaryota; Viridiplantae; Streptophyta; Magnoliopsida; Magnoliales; Magnoliaceae
Exons: 9
Source: RefSeq, a predicted model, not a curated record
CUUGGUUUAGUACAGAGGAUUUUAUUUUGGCUUCAGUUUGGGCUUCAUUUUGGGCAUCUCAGUUGAAACUUAAUUGUUCAAGUAAACUUAUUUCAAACAAGUUCUCAACUUGAGAAACAACAUUUCUUGUUCUGAUAUGAUCACCCCUAAAAUGUAGAGAGUUUCGUGACUGCAGUUAGCUAACUACCUCUGUUUGGACAUAUAUGUAAUCUGAUAUUUGCUCCUUACAAAAGGUCUUCAGGUGUUAGCCAAAUUAUCAAUCUGAUAUCAUUAUGCUUAGCAGCAUUAUAGAAAUUCAAACUAUUAAGCAUUAGCAUGUCACUUUUAGUCUUUGAUUGUCACAGAACAUGGGCUGGUUCUUAACCUGCAUAAGUUCAGUGGUAGGAGCCAUGGAUAUUUAAACUCUGUUAUGGAAUUUCUUUUUUUUUUUUUUUGGUUUUCCAUUGAGUUCAAUACAGGUCAUUCUGUGUACAUGUCUGGUGAUUGGGACUUGAUAAUAAUGCUUCAGAAAAUAGCAGCCACGUCUUUCGUUUUCCUAGCAUGGGGCUUAUAGCAGCAACCUCUGCAUCAUUUUAGGUGGCAAUUGGAUAUAUUGCCUAAUUUUAGUCGGUGGGGCUUCCUAAAUGUACUUAAUAGCAACCACGUCUUUCAUUUUAGCUUGUUGCAGUUGUUCACACAGUAAUCAUUCUCGAAUGUCCAUGCAAGCUACAUAUUGGAAGAGGAUAUAGCUCAACAAUCUUCAUCAGACAUUGAUCAACAUAUUAGGAGCUUCGAUUUAUUUUGAAAAGUUGACUUAAUGCACUGACAUAUGGCUUCUGUUGCUGCAGAAAACCAUAGGAUUCCAGUCAUUGUUGUUGGGCAUCGUUUUGGGAAUUCAAGUGGCAUCGCUCCUCAUGCACAGUAAUUGAUUAAAUGAUGGGAUUCCAGUCAUCUGAAAGCUAUUGAUUGCUGUGCAUUCGAUGAAUGCUAUCUUUCUCCUUGGUAAUGCUGCAUUGAAUUGCUUGGUAAUCUAGUGCGGAUUGGAAGUGAGCUCUCUGAAACUAGGUCGAACAAAGAAAUGCCAUACUUAGAAAGUGGAUAUAUACAAAGGGUCCGAAGGGAAAAGUGUUGAAUCUCCAAGCAUUGUUGUUGAUUCACAUCAAAAGAUGUUGAUGGUCUUGGGUAACAUUGGAUAUUGCAAAGAUCAACUUUCAUAUGAGUUGUACAAAUAAGUAAAAAAGAAACCAGAAUGGUUCUAUCAAGACAAACACUAUGGCACAAAUGGUAAAGGCAGUUUGCAUGAUUUUAGGGAUGGAUAUGUUUGGAUCUGCUCUGCCCAAACAUUUUGCUAGAGACAUUGAAAUUGAAGAUGAUGCACCUAAAAGAAAGCCCUCAUUGAAGGAGAUUGAUGCCUUGGAGUGAUCCCUGCAAUGCAUGUUGCUUUAGGAAGAGGAUGAAUCAAGAGUGAAAAGGUCUUUUAUUAUACGAUGUGAUCUUCACCAGCAAAGGGUUUGGUUUGAUGCAUGGGAUAGAUGCAAUUCCAACUUGGAUAACUUAAAGCUACAUCAUUUUUUGUAGGCUAACUAGUAGCUACUGCUAAGUUGUGACCUUAAUUGGAGAGGUACUAUAAUAUGUUGAUUUGUAAAGUGGAAAUGGAAAUAAAAGUGUUGAAUUUCAUGCUAACUUAAUGUUGAA